Molecule: long non-coding RNA, 948 nt
Filed under: Monodelphis domestica (gray short-tailed opossum)
Lineage: Eukaryota; Metazoa; Chordata; Mammalia; Didelphimorphia; Didelphidae
Description: lncRNA (ENSMODG00000033205.2)
Source: RNAcentral
AAGAUGUUGUAAGUCUUCAUAGAAUUUAGCGACUCUGGCCUCAGCUGUGGAUGCGUCUGGAAAUGAAAGGAAAGUCUGAUUCUGGAACGAUCUCAUAGGAACCUGGAAUGCAAGAUCUGUGAACCAAGGUGGCCGUGGUCAGGUAUCGGUUGGGGCCAAUCCGCCCUUCUAGUCACAGGGAGCUCAGAAUCCGAGAGCCGGAGCCCACCACGCGAGGCAUUCAGGAGACCAAACCCGAAUACGCUUUUUCCCCUCGAAGCACGCGGAGGACACAGUCUAUGCUACUCUCCAAAGACCGUGAAAAAAGUGCCGGUAUGGUAUGGCCAGCGGCUGCUGUUGCCAAGCGCUUUGUUCUUGGAACACGCUGACCGCCCUUUGGGACUCAGACCAUCCACGAGACGCCGUGUGUCAACCAGGCCGCCGAGUGGGACGUUCCCUGGUCUGCUCCCCGAUGCCCCCCGUUGUUUUAGUGGGGCCGCAAGGAUGGUGCUCACAGUCCUAGCAGGGACGCCUCUCCGUCCUUCCCCCACAACCGGCGUGUGGUCAGUCCUAAUGUAAACAUCAUGUGAGUCUCUAUUCUGCAGUGUGGUCUGGGGUGCAGCUUCCUCUUGGCAGCCACGGCUCAGGGCAGCGUCAGCCUGACGGGCCUCGCCUGUGGGCUGGCAUCCUGGCAAAGCCCUCUGGUAGGGCUGGAGGCGGGGCGGGGAGGAUGGAAUCUAUCAGAGAAGGCGGACGUGCUCUGGGUUUGGACCGUGACACCCUGCUGCCCAGGGGCACACGAGCCGGCACCCGCGGGUCAGCACUGCCGUAUCCUGGUGCCUUCUGGGCGGGUGGCUCCUGGGGGCUCGCCGUCGGCGCCCUGGCGUCCCUUCAUGCACCGUCAUGGCUGACUGAAGCCGUGCCCUGGGCCUGGUGCUCUGCCCCUUGCCAUCGCCCCCCGGGGAACGG